This 57-nucleotide small RNA is filed under the name unclassified sequences. RNAcentral describes it as "NAD+-I sequence". It matches the Rfam family "nadA riboswitch". The record is from Rfam by way of RNAcentral.
GCUUUCAACAUCCCCGUUUUCCUGUCGCCCCAGCCGAUGGCAGCGAGAACUGAAGGC